UGGGGAUGACGUCAAAUCAUCAUGCCCCUUAUGAUUUGGGCUACACACGUGCUACAAUGGACAAUACAAAGGGCAGCAAAACCGCGAGGUCAAGCAAAUCCCAUAAAGUUGUUCUCAGUUCGGAUUGUAGUCUGCAACUCGACUACAUGAAGCUGGAAUCGCUAGUAAUCGUAGAUCAGCAUGCUACGGUGAAUACGUUCCCGGGUCUUGUACACACCGCCCGUCACACCACGAGAGUUUGUAACACCCGAAGCCGGUGGAGUAACCAUUUGGAGCUAGCCGUCGAAGGUGGGACAAAUGAUUGGGGUGAAGUCGUAACAAGGUAGCCGUAUCGGAAGGUGCGGCUGGAUCACCUCCUUU
This 360-nucleotide ribosomal RNA is filed under the name Staphylococcus chromogenes. RNAcentral's name for it is "bacterial SSU rRNA". It matches the Rfam family "Bacterial small subunit ribosomal RNA", at positions 1174 to 1533 of the family's 1533-position model. Lineage: Bacteria; Bacillati; Bacillota; Bacilli; Caryophanales; Staphylococcaceae. The record is from RNAcentral.